UCUCAAGCCCUGCCUUGCAUUGGGGUAGAU
This 30-nucleotide non-coding RNA is filed under the name Rattus norvegicus (Norway rat). The record is from RNAcentral. Lineage: Eukaryota; Metazoa; Chordata; Mammalia; Rodentia; Muridae.